CAAUAAGUCUGAUGUGAAAGCCUUCGGCUCAACCGGAGAAUUGCAUCAGAAACUGUUGAACUUGAGUGCAGAAGAGGAGAGUGGAACUCCAUGUGUAGCGGUGGAAUGCGUAGAUAUAUGGAAGAACACCAGUGGCGAAGGCGGCUCUCUGGUCUGCAACUGACGCUGAGGCUCGAAAGCAUGGGUAGCGAACAGGAUUAGAUACCCUGGUAGUCCAUGCCGUAAACGAUGAGUGCUAAGUGUUGGGAGGUUUCCGCCUCUCAGUGCUGCAGCUAACGCAUUAAGCACUCCGCCUGGGGAGUACGACCGCAAGGUUGAAACUCAAAGGAAUUGACGGGGGCCCGCACAAGCGGUGGAGCAUGUGGUUUAAUUCGAAGCAACGCGAAGAACCUUACCAGGUCUUGACAUCCAGUGCAAACCUAAGAGAUUAGGUGUUCCCUUCGGGGACGCUGAGACAGGUGGUGCAUGGCUGUCGUCAGCUCGUGU
This 486-nucleotide ribosomal RNA is filed under the name Lactobacillus johnsonii. RNAcentral's name for it is "bacterial SSU rRNA". It matches the Rfam family "Bacterial small subunit ribosomal RNA", at positions 581 to 1065 of the family's 1533-position model. The record is from RNAcentral. Lineage: Bacteria; Bacillati; Bacillota; Bacilli; Lactobacillales; Lactobacillaceae.